ACGAAGGCCAAUGUCUGUUUUCCUCUCAGAAGCCGCGCACGACGAAAACUUGCCGCUCGUGCCACCCACUCUCUAAUCUCGCGAGCGACUCCGUGAGGAUGACGUCAGGGUUGUAGAUCUCAAUGUGACGCGAGAACUCGCGACUUCUGGGAUGGUUUAGCAGGCUUCUUACGGUCCGGGUGUUCUGUUCGCUUUAUUUUUACGAAUUUAAUCCGGUGGAUUGGUAAUUUGACUUACCGUGCAUUCAGGUAUUUCCCUGGCCCAUCACUGUAGUAACGGCAAGAGAAUCCUCAUCCUGAAGGAGCUCAGAAAAGAAGAAAGCAGAAGCCUGAGGAACAAGCACUGACAGAAUAAAGGAAAGUCUGAGAGGCCAGAACAGUACAUUAAAGCCGGAAGUUCAGCUUGUCAUCAGAGUUCAGAUUCUUUCCUGGUUCCCUGUGGAGGGGUCAAGAAUACAAACAUCCUCAAUUGCUACAGCAGAAGGGAACAUUAGUCCAUUAGCAGAACCAAACAGGAAGCACCGAUGGGCAUUUCUGCUAUUUAUUUUCUGACUAUUAGGAAACAUGUAGGUUAGUUCUUUGAACAAAAUUUGUCAAUAAAGCAUAGAACACUUAAAAGGUGUAGUCAUUUUGGUUAAAC
Molecule: long non-coding RNA, 639 nt
Filed under: Cervus hanglu yarkandensis (Yarkand deer)
Lineage: Eukaryota; Metazoa; Chordata; Mammalia; Artiodactyla; Cervidae
Description: lncRNA (ENSCHYG00000023399.1)
Source: RNAcentral